RNAcentral lists this long non-coding RNA (1820 nucleotides) under Salmo salar (Atlantic salmon). Its description in RNAcentral is "lncRNA (ENSSSAG00000120327.1)". Lineage: Eukaryota; Metazoa; Chordata; Actinopteri; Salmoniformes; Salmonidae. The record is from RNAcentral.
AAACAAACGUUUUAAAUACUUGAACAUCUUCAGAUUCGUGGUAACCAUGACUACCCGAAAAAGAAAAGGAGAGCCUCGCACUCUAGGAGCUCAGAUGCAACAAUUUAAUAACCAACGUUUCGACAGACAAGCUGUCUUUCAUCAGGGUAUAUUGACAAACACUGCAGGAAGCAAACAACACGUUGUUUCACACACUGCUUGUGAUGCUCCAAAACAGUUUUUGAUGAGAGUCCGAGUGAAGGAAAGGAAAAGAUAAGGACAACAGAGGACGAGAGGAAGCGAAGGAUGAUGAACGAAGACAAGUGUAUGACUCACCAGUUAAACCUGUUCAAAUGAUUGUGAACCAACUGCAAUUUUCGCCCAAAGUCCAAGGAGGCGUACAACUGCGAAGAAGAACAUAAAAAAGAGAAAGAAAAGAGAGAUAGAGAGCAUAUCAGUCUACUUAUCUACUUAUCACAAGACAGGAAGUAAAGUGACAGUGGGCUUGAGUCAUGGCAGGAUAAUGCUAGGGAAGAGUGUACCCGGGGCAAUGAAGCAUGACACUCUAGAUAGGCUGACAUCAUUUUAAACCGCCAUCAUCAUUAUAGCUCAGACCAUUCAUGUUAUAGCUCGGACCAUUCAGUAUAGGCUCCCAAAUUACAUAUAGGCCCUAUCCUGUUUCCGGUAACACUUUACUUGACACCCAGCGUCAUAACACGUUAUGACAUGUUCAUAACCAUGUCAUGACAUAUUAAUAAUGGCACCGGAGGGAAUGGCUGCCGUUUUACUGGCUCCUACCCAACUUUGCUAUUUUGUUUGUUUUUGCACAUUUUUUUUACUAAUUUUGUACACAAUGUUGCUGCUACCGUCUCUUAUGACCAAAAAUAACUUCUGGACAUCAGGACAGUGAUUACUCACCUCGAACUGGAGGAAUAUUUUUACUUUAAUGAGUCCGAGGCGAAGGAUAUACUGCUUCCUGGAGACCAGGCCUUCAUCCCCGUCAUUCGCGUGAAGAAAAGACGGAAAUACAUGGGGCAGAGGUCUGGGAGCCUUGUGAGAAUUUGUCGGCGAGUGAGUAAACCACCACUACCCUCUGUUUUAUUGGCCAACGUGCAAUCAUUGGAAAACAAAUUGGACGAUUUACGAUUAAGAAUAUCCUACCAACGACGACACGGAUUAUAUAGAGCUGGCUGGCUUCUCCGUUUUUCUGGACUUUUUGUUUUUACAUUGCUGCUACUCACUGUUUAUUAUUUAUGCAUAGCCACUUGACAAAUUACCUCGAUUAACCUGUACCCCCGCACAUUGACUUGGUACCGGUACCACAUGUAUAUAGCGUCAUUAUUUUUAUGUACAUUUCUUGUGUUACCUUGUGAUUGAUUAGAUUUUUUUUACUUUAGUUUAUUUAGUAAAUAUUUUAAUAACUCUUAUUUCCUGAACUGCAUUGUUGGUCUGAUCUGUUUCACCUGUCUUUGUGCUUGUCUCCACCCCCCUCCAGGUGUCGCCCAUCUUCCUCAUUAUCCCAAGUGUAUUUAUACCCGUGUUCUCUGUUUGUCUAUUGCCAGUUCAUCUUGUCAGGUCUUACCAGCAUGUUUUCCCAUCUCUCUGCUUUCUCAAGUUCUGUUCCCUAGUUUCCCCGGUUCUGACCAUUCUGCCUGGCCUGACCCCAAGCCUGCCUGCCAUUCUGUGCCUACCUGACUCUGACCCAUUUACGAACCUCUGCCUGUCCUGACCCCGAGCCUGCCUGCUGUUCUGUACCUUAUUGACUCUGCCCUGGAUUGCGGACCUCUGCCUGCCUUUGACCUGUCUUUUGCCUUCCCCCUGUUUUGGUCAAUAAACAUCUG